AGAAUCAACGCUGGCGGCGUGCCUAACACAUGCAAGUCGAACGAGAAAGUGGAGCAAUCCAUGAGUAAAGUGGCGCACGGGUGAGUAACACGUGACUAACCUACCCUUGAGUGGGGAAUAACUUACGGGAAACCGAGGCUAAUACCGCAUAACACCUACGGGUCAAAGGAGCAAUUCGCUUAAGGAGGGGGUCGCGGCAGAUUAGUUAGUUGGCGAGGGUAAUGGCCUACCAAGACGGUGAUCUGUA
RNAcentral lists this ribosomal RNA (247 nucleotides) under uncultured bacterium. RNAcentral's name for it is "partial small subunit ribosomal RNA". It matches the Rfam family "Bacterial small subunit ribosomal RNA", at positions 26 to 285 of the family's 1533-position model. The record is from RNAcentral.